This 230-nucleotide ribosomal RNA is filed under the name uncultured bacterium. Its description in RNAcentral is "partial 16S ribosomal RNA". It matches the Rfam family "Bacterial small subunit ribosomal RNA", at positions 563 to 791 of the family's 1533-position model. The record is from RNAcentral.
AAGCGUGCGCAGGCGGUUAUGUAAGACAGAUGUGAAAUCCCCGGGCUCAACCUGGGAACUGCAUUAGUGACUGCAUAGCUGGUAGUACGGCAGAGGGGGAUGGAAUUCCGCGUGUAGCAGUGAAAUGCGUAGAUAUGCGGAGGAACACCGAUGGCGAAGGCAAUCCCCUGGGCCUGUACUGACGCUCAUGCACGAAAGCGUGGGGAGCAAACAGGAUUAGAUACCCCAGU